RNAcentral lists this ribosomal RNA (252 nucleotides) under uncultured bacterium. RNAcentral describes it as "partial 16S ribosomal RNA". It matches the Rfam family "Bacterial small subunit ribosomal RNA", at positions 524 to 776 of the family's 1533-position model. The record is from RNAcentral.
UACGGAGGAUGCGAGCGUUAUCCGGAUUUAUUGGGUUUAAAGGGUGCGUAGGCGGACUGUCAAGUCAGCGGUAAAAUUGAGAGGCUCAACUUCUUCCCGCCGUUGAAACUGGUGGUCUUGAGUGGAUGAGAAGUACGCGGAAUGCGUGGUGUAGCGGUGAAAUGCAUAGAUAUCACGCAGAACUCCGAUUGCGAAGGCAGCGUACCGGCAUCCAACUGACGCUGAGGCACGAAAGCGUGGGGAUCAAACAGG